UUCUAGCUAUGUACAUGUGCUAGAAUUCUAUGGAGAAUUCUAGAGAGUCUAGAGAGUUCUAUUACUUUCUAGCUAGGUACAUGUGCUAGAAUUCUAUUGAGAAUUCUAGAGUAUUUCCAAGCUCAAAUGGACUAGAGUUCUCUAGAACGUUCAGGAAUCUAGAGUUGCCUAGAAUGUUCUGGAAUUGGGCUAUUUAUUUUUCAUAAUUUCUUAAGCCCAAAUAAUUAUAACAAAAUCAAGUUUAUUUUAUUUUCAACA
Molecule: long non-coding RNA, 258 nt
Filed under: Nicotiana benthamiana
Lineage: Eukaryota; Viridiplantae; Streptophyta; Magnoliopsida; Solanales; Solanaceae
Description: long non-coding RNA (NBEN_LNC035602)
Source: RNAcentral